Long non-coding RNA from Passer domesticus (house sparrow), 681 nucleotides. RefSeq lists it as uncharacterized. NCBI's taxonomy places the organism in Eukaryota, Metazoa, Chordata, Aves, Passeriformes, Passeridae. The record is from RefSeq and is a predicted model, not a curated record. The transcript has 4 exons.
AGGACAAGAGGCAACAGGCAGAAAUUGAUGCACGGAAAGUUCCACUCAAGCAUAAGAACUUCUUUGUUGUGCAGGUGACCAAGCAGUGGAACAGGUUGCAGAGUCUCCCUCACAGGAGGUACUCAAAAACUGUCUAGGUGCAAUCCAGUGCCAUGUGAUCUAGGAUAACCUUACUUUAGCAGGGGGUUGGACCAGAAUACCUGCUGCUGUAGUCUCUUCCAACCCAUUCUGUGACUUUUUCCCUCAGCCUUCUUUUCAGAAUCCUAUGCAGCUCCUUCCUGGGAACACCAGAACUACUUUGGCAGCCCAUGAAGCACCGACCUACAUCUCCCACAGCACCUGGACUUCAGACUGCUUUGCAACACUUAGAACAUGGUCAUCAAACUCUUCCUCUGUUUAAACUGGAAGUCUCAGAAUAAGAAUCUCAGGAAACUGUCAUUUCUGAUUCCUUGGGCUACACUGAUGCUGAGUUACCACAAAAUUUGAAUGCCAUCCUUGGUCAGUUGAGAGAACUGAGCAUGAAGACUCCCCCGUGUGACAGCUGCUUCUUGUGAAGCCAAGCCAGUGAAGGCACAACCUGCAUUCUGAAUUAAGUGACCAGAGAUUUAGGACAAAAAAGGGAAGAGAAGCAACUUCCACUUCAGAAAGCUCCUAAGACAAUGAGACCUGUCUAGUGGAUGA